This 611-nucleotide ribosomal RNA is filed under the name Lactobacillus gasseri. Its description in RNAcentral is "bacterial SSU rRNA". It matches the Rfam family "Bacterial small subunit ribosomal RNA", at positions 371 to 973 of the family's 1533-position model. The record is from RNAcentral. Lineage: Bacteria; Bacillati; Bacillota; Bacilli; Lactobacillales; Lactobacillaceae.
AUGGACGCAAGUCUGAUGGAGCAACGCCGCGUGAGUGAAGAAGGGUUUCGGCUCGUAAAGCUCUGUUGGUAGUGAAGAAAGAUAGAGGUAGUAACUGGCCUUUAUUUGACGGUAAUUACUUAGAAAGUCACGGCUAACUACGUGCCAGCAGCCGCGGUAAUACGUAGGUGGCAAGCGUUGUCCGGAUUUAUUGGGCGUAAAGCGAGUGCAGGCGGUUCAAUAAGUCUGAUGUGAAAGCCUUCGGCUCAACCGGAGAAUUGCAUCAGAAACUGUUGAACUUGAGUGCAGAAGAGGAGAGUGGAACUCCAUGUGUAGCGGUGGAAUGCGUAGAUAUAUGGAAGAACACCAGUGGCGAAGGCGGCUCUCUGGUCUGCAACUGACGCUGAGGCUCGAAAGCAUGGGUAGCGAACAGGAUUAGAUACCCUGGUAGUCCAUGCCGUAAACGAUGAGUGCUAAGUGUUGGGAAGUUUCCGCCUCUCAGUGCUGCAGCUAACGCAUUAAGCACUCCGCCUGGGGAGUACGACCGCAAGGUUGAAACCCAAAGGAAUUGACGGGGGCCCGCACAAGCGGUGGAGCAUGUGGUUUAAUUCGAAGCAACGCGAAGAACCUUA